Molecule: long non-coding RNA, 340 nt
Organism: Saccostrea cuccullata (small rock oyster)
Lineage: Eukaryota; Metazoa; Mollusca; Bivalvia; Ostreida; Ostreidae
Exons: 3
Source: RefSeq, a predicted model, not a curated record
UCAGUAAUAGUAAGUAAAAUGGGUUGGAAAUUUACGUAGUUUUCAAACCUGAAUUUUCUUCUUCAGCUUCUUAUUUUAGUCUUGGGAUGUGCUGAUUUAGACGUCUGUUUGGUUGGAUCAGUUGAAAAUAAUUCCGAUUCCGAAUGCUGUUACAAUUUUUACAAAGUGAACAAUAUAUGCCAAGAAUGCCUAGCAGGCUAUUUUGGAGACAAGUGUAGUAUGAAGUUUAUGCAUCCGGAGUAUGGAAAAUCCUGUGCAUUGAAGUGUGAUUGUUCGAUUUCACAGUAUCACAAUGAAAAGGGUUGUUCUAACGAUCAACAAGUCAAAAGUAAAUGAAAAU